CCUUCAAGGUGCUGCAUGGUUGUCGUCAGCUCGUGCCGUGAGGUGUCGGGUUAAGUCCCAUAACGAGCGCAACCCUUACCGUUAGUUACCAUCAGGUUAAGCUGGGGACUCUAGCGGGACUGCCACCGUAAGGUGAGAGGAAGGUGGGGAUGACGUCAAAUCAGCACGGCCCUUAUGUCCAGGGCUACACACGUGUUACAAUGGCCAGUACAAAGGGCAGCUACCGGGUGACCGGAUGCUAAUCCCUAAAGCUGGUCUCAGUUCGGAUCGAAGUCUGCAACCCGACUUCGUGAAGCUGGAUUCGCUAGUAAUCGCGCAUCAGCCAUGGCGCGGUGAAUACGUUCCCGGGCCUU
RNAcentral lists this ribosomal RNA (353 nucleotides) under uncultured Sphingobacteriales bacterium. Its description in RNAcentral is "bacterial SSU rRNA". It matches the Rfam family "Bacterial small subunit ribosomal RNA", at positions 1030 to 1382 of the family's 1533-position model. Lineage: Bacteria; Pseudomonadati; Bacteroidota; Sphingobacteriia; Sphingobacteriales. The record is from RNAcentral.